Molecule: ribosomal RNA, 253 nt
Filed under: uncultured bacterium
Lineage: Bacteria
Description: partial 16S ribosomal RNA
Rfam family: Bacterial small subunit ribosomal RNA
Source: RNAcentral
UACGUAGGGGGCGAGCGUUGUCCGGAAUUAUUGGGCGUAAAGAGCGUGUAGGCGGUUCGGUAAGUCUGCCGUGAAAACCUGGGGCUCAACCCCGGGCGUGCGGUGGAUACUGCCGGGCUAGAGUCCGGAAGAGGAGAGUGGAAUUCCUGGUGUAGCGGUGAAAUGCGCAGAUAUCAGGAAGAACACCAAUGGCGAAAGCAGCUCUCUGGGACGGUACUGACGCUGAGACGCGAAAGCGUGGGGAGCGAACAGG